Molecule: long non-coding RNA, 276 nt
Filed under: Nicotiana benthamiana
Lineage: Eukaryota; Viridiplantae; Streptophyta; Magnoliopsida; Solanales; Solanaceae
Description: long non-coding RNA (NBEN_LNC041433)
Source: RNAcentral
ACCUCUAGCUAGAUCCCGCACCAUAGUCGUAGGAUCAAGAAAUCUGCAUUCAUUCCACUCCUGGAAAAUUCUUAUUGGAAAUAUGGCUUUUGGUCCCAAUUCAAUGACAUGUCCACUCAAAUCUUCAUCAUGGAGAAUGGUUUGAAAUCUGCCCAAUUGGCGCAAAACCAUGUGAGGAGCAUACAGUUCGAUGCUCCGGAUGCCCAUCAGGAGAAGAUAACACACUUCGGCUGACAUGUAUAUUGCUUUGGUGGUCGGAAGCCAUCCGAAUGCCCA